GCAAAGAUCAUUGUAGCAGCAGAAUUCUGAUAAGAUGGAGGAAAGAAAAGCCAGAGUGAAGCAGACCAUUAGCAGAUAAUUGUCAUAAUCUUGAUACUAAAUGGAGACCAGAAUUAAGUCAGAACACUGAAUACAGAAACUUGAAGAACAACAUCAUUUCAGUCAGGAGUACCAAAAAGAGCUUUUAAGAAAACGGAAGCAGAAAAUGGCAUAGAAGAAGCUGAACCUAAAAUAUUCAUUGAAGUCAGAAGGCAAAGGAUCCUUUGAUGUAGUCCAUUCAGAGCAGAAGGAGAAGAAUGCAGAGUGGAUCUGCAGGGACAAAUAGAAGAUGCAGCGCAAUGGAGAUACUGUUUAAUGCCGCAGGGGACCUGGGCUCUUUUCGUCUCUCCUAUGUAAAGAGAAUUUCCUCCAUCCAAGUAAAACUGAUGCGAUCGGUCAGCUUUCUAGACAACAGAAAUAAAUAAUUCUCUCUGUGAGGAAUGA
This 483-nucleotide long non-coding RNA is filed under the name Homo sapiens (human). RNAcentral's name for it is "HSALNT0345354". Lineage: Eukaryota; Metazoa; Chordata; Mammalia; Primates; Hominidae. The record is from RNAcentral.